AUGGAAAUGGAUAUCUAGAUCCCAAGAAUACUAUUGUGUUUUUUUUAAAAUAACUACAAAGAAUUAAAUGAUAAUCUUAAAAAUUAUACUUAGAAGUAGAAGAUUCAACAUAAAUCAAAAGGUAUUCAACCAUAAAAGUAUUAUAAAAAAAAUUGGAUUCCUUGUUAACCAAACAGCAAAAAAAAGGAAUAUUAUUCUAAGAAUUGCACUCAAUUCCUUAUUCCAUGGCGAAACAAACAUGGUGUUUAUUCAACAAAGAUAAACAGUUGCCCAAAACCUUCCAUUUAUGGAUUUUUUAAACAGCUCUUUUACCAGUGGUUUUUUUAAAUAGACAUUCUCAAAUUGAAACAUAUAUCAUCAACUGCAUGACAUUUAUCUUUGCAUGUAGUUGAUAUAUGACAGACAGUGUAUCAAUUGAUGGACUUACAUUACUUCUUCCCCAGAAUGUUG
This 450-nucleotide unclassified non-coding RNA is filed under the name Hevea brasiliensis (rubber tree). Lineage: Eukaryota; Viridiplantae; Streptophyta; Magnoliopsida; Malpighiales; Euphorbiaceae. The record is from RNAcentral.